CAUACAUAUUAGGCACAUUUUGGUAAUCCUCUCAUAUUGGCUCCCGGAUACAACUGAAAGACACGAAAGGUGUCUGGUCGAUCAUCUGAUUUGAAUCAGAUGAACGUUCCUCUAGUGGAGUCGACCUCUCAUGAUUCCAGAUUCCUACCAUGAUUGGAGGCCCACCGACUAGCUGUCUCAUGGUUGUGGCCUGAGGUGGUGUGGUGCAUAUAGGUUUAGCCUCUAACCGUGCGUCUAAGUAGUCCACUAAUGGGGAUAGGGUUCCCGAUCUUUGAUCAAGUUUACGAUAAACAACGA
RNAcentral lists this long non-coding RNA (297 nucleotides) under Sorghum bicolor (sorghum). RNAcentral's name for it is "long non-coding RNA (SBIC_LNC003401)". Lineage: Eukaryota; Viridiplantae; Streptophyta; Magnoliopsida; Poales; Poaceae. The record is from RNAcentral.